AACGAACGCUGGCGGCAGGCCUAACACAUGCAAGUCGAGCGCGCCCUUCGGGGUGAGCGGCGGACGGGUGAGUAACGCGUGGGAACGUGCCCUUCUCUGCGGAAUAGCCUCGGGAAACUGAGAGUAAUACCGCAUACGCCCUUUGGGGGAAAGAUUUAUCGGAGAAGGAUCGGCCCGCGUUGGAUUAGGUAGUUGGUGGGGUAAUGGCCCACCAAGCCGACGAUCCAUAGCUGGGUUGAGAGGAUGAUCAGCCACACUGGGACUGAGACACGGCCCAGCCUCCUACGGGAGGCAGCAGUGGGGAAUCUUAGACAAUGGGGGCAACCCUGAUCUAGCCAUGCCGCGUGAGUGAUGAAGGCCUUAGGGUUGUAAAGCUCUUUCAGCUGGGAAGAUAAUGACGGUACCAGCAGAAGAAGCCCCGGCUAACUCCGUG
RNAcentral lists this ribosomal RNA (433 nucleotides) under uncultured bacterium. RNAcentral's name for it is "partial 16S ribosomal RNA". It matches the Rfam family "Bacterial small subunit ribosomal RNA", at positions 29 to 507 of the family's 1533-position model. The record is from RNAcentral.